This 328-nucleotide unclassified non-coding RNA is filed under the name soil metagenome. RNAcentral describes it as "partial contains 5.8S ribosomal RNA, internal transcribed spacer 2, and large subunit ribosomal RNA". The stretch from base 1 to 120 matches the Rfam family "5.8S ribosomal RNA", at positions 35 to 154 of the family's 154-position model. The record is from RNAcentral.
GAUGAAGAACGUAGCGAAAUGCGAUAAGUAAUGUGAAUUGCAGAAUUCAGUGAAUCAUCGAAUCUUUGAACGCACAUUGCGCCCCCUGGCAUUCCGGGGGGCAUGCCUGUCCGAGCGUCAUUACAACCCUCAAGCUCAGCUUGGUGUUGGGCCCCGCCGCCCCGGCGGGCCCUAAAGUCAGUGGCGGUGCCGUCCGGCUCCGAGCGUAGUAAUUCUUCUCGCUCUGGAGACCCGGUUGUGUGCUUGCCAACAACCCCCAAUUUUUUAAGGUUGACCUCGGAUCAGGUAGGGAUACCCGCUGAACUUAAGCAUAUCAAUAAGCGGAGGA